ACCUUCGUGGUGUAAUGGUCAGCACACUGAGCCGGUAUUUCAGAGGUCCGCGGUUCGAUUCCCGGCGAAGGCG
Non-coding RNA from Stegodyphus mimosarum, 73 nucleotides. Lineage: Eukaryota; Metazoa; Arthropoda; Arachnida; Araneae; Eresidae. The record is from Rfam.